This 349-nucleotide long non-coding RNA is filed under the name Phaseolus vulgaris (common bean). Its description in RNAcentral is "long non-coding RNA (PVUL_LNC004880)". Lineage: Eukaryota; Viridiplantae; Streptophyta; Magnoliopsida; Fabales; Fabaceae. The record is from RNAcentral.
UACACUCUACUGUUAAUAUAAAAUAUAAUUAUAUUGCAGAAAAUACAACAAAGUUACAAGACACACCAUUCGCAAAAGAAGUCACAGAGGCAGGACAAUAUCCAAGAAAGUCAUCAUCAUCACCUCUUUACACACUCAUAUGGCACAGAUUCAACAAGAGAAUUACGUGCCAAUUUUAUUCUUCAACUCUCUUUUAUCACAUUACAGACAAACACUGUUCUCAUAGCAGAGAACAUAAUUGAUUCACUCUUCCAUGCAGAUGAGACACCUUAUACCCUCCCCUCUCAGCAUAAGGUCAAAUGCCUUGUUGAUCUCUGAGAAUGGCACAGUGUGAGUGAUAAAUUUGUCC